This 253-nucleotide ribosomal RNA is filed under the name uncultured bacterium. Its description in RNAcentral is "partial 16S ribosomal RNA". It matches the Rfam family "Bacterial small subunit ribosomal RNA", at positions 524 to 776 of the family's 1533-position model. The record is from RNAcentral.
UACGGGGGGGGCAAGCGUUGUUCGGAAUUACUGGGCGUAAAGGGCUCGUAGGCGGCCAACUAAGUCGGAUGUGAAAUCCCCAGGCUUAACCUGGGAACUGCAUCCGAUGCCGGAUGGCUUGAAUCCGGGAGAGGGAUGCGGAAUUCCAGGUGUAGCGGUGAAAUGCGUAGAUAUCAGGAGGAACACCAAUAGCGAAGGCAGCUCGCUGGGACGUUACUGACACUGAGGCGCGAAAGCGUGGGGAGCGAACAGG